This 396-nucleotide ribosomal RNA is filed under the name uncultured bacterium. Its description in RNAcentral is "bacterial SSU rRNA". It matches the Rfam family "Bacterial small subunit ribosomal RNA", at positions 28 to 429 of the family's 1533-position model. The record is from RNAcentral.
GACGAACGCUGGCGGCAUGCCUAACACAUGCAAGUCUAGGGGUAGCGCGGGGGCAACCCUGGCGGCGAGCGGCGAACGGGUGAGUAAUGCAUCGGAACGUACCCUGGAGUGGGGGAUAACGGCCGCGAAAGCGGCGCUAAUACCGCAUAUGCUCUGAGGAGGAAAGUGGGGGACCGCAAGGCCUCACGCUCUGGGAGCGGCCGAUGUCCGAUUAGCUAGUUGGUGAGGUAAAGGCUUACCAAGGCGACGAUCGGUAGCUGGUCUGAGAGGAUGAUCAGCCACACUGGGACUGAGACACGGCCCAGACUCCUACGGGAGGCAGCAGUGGGGAAUUUUGGACAAUGGGGGCAACCCUGAUCCAGCCAUGCCGCGUGAGUGAAGAAGGCCUGGUGUAAG